UAACACAUGCAAGUCGAAUGAAGUAGCACUACUUAGUGGCAGACGGGUGAGUAACAUGUAGGUAUAUGCCCUUUGGCCUGGAAUAGCACGAGGAAACUUGUGCUAAUACUGGAUAAGUCUUUACGGAGAAAGCUUUAUGCACCAUUGGAUGAGCCUGCACUUGAUUAGUUUGUUGGUGGGGUAAUGGCCUACCAAGACUGUGAGGAAUACCUGAUUUGAGAGGAUGAUCAGCCACAUUGGGACUGAGACACGGCCC
Molecule: ribosomal RNA, 256 nt
Filed under: uncultured bacterium
Lineage: Bacteria
Description: partial 16S ribosomal RNA
Rfam family: Bacterial small subunit ribosomal RNA
Source: RNAcentral